Molecule: ribosomal RNA, 336 nt
Filed under: uncultured soil bacterium
Lineage: Bacteria
Description: bacterial SSU rRNA
Rfam family: Bacterial small subunit ribosomal RNA
Source: RNAcentral
GGAGUGAACGCUGGCGGUAGGCCUAACACAUGCAAGUCGAACGGCAGCACAGUAGGAGCUUGCUCUUACGGGUGGCGAGUGGCGGACGGGUGAGGAAUACAUCGGAAUCUACCUUUUGGUGGGGGAUAACGUAGGGAAACUUACGCUAAUACCGCAUACGCCCUUCGGGGGAAAGCCGGGGACCAGCAAUGGCCUGGUGCUGAUAGAUGAGCCGAUGUCGGAUUAGCUAGUUGGUGAGGUAAUGGCUCACCAAGGCGACGAUCCGUAGCUGGUCUGAGAGGAUGAUCAGCCACACGUGGAACUGAGACACGGUCCAGACUCCGUAACGGGAGGCAG